Mauremys reevesii (Reeves's turtle) is the source of this 506-nucleotide long non-coding RNA. RefSeq lists it as uncharacterized. The record is from RefSeq and is a predicted model, not a curated record. NCBI's taxonomy places the organism in Eukaryota, Metazoa, Chordata, Testudines, Geoemydidae. The transcript has 3 exons.
GGGAGAGUCCAUCGCGCUACAGAGAAAGGGGGGGGGGAAGGGUCGAUUACCGUGGUCCCUGCCCUCUCCCCGGCUCCCGUCACGCCCGCCCCGUGCGGGUUCGGGAAUUCCCCUGAAACCACAUACAAGUCUGAAAGAGCAUUCAGACAGAUGUGCCACUGCUGAAGUAUCCCUUUGAAGCCAUCCCCAUGAAGAGGUGCACAUAUACUGGUUCAAACUGGAUUAUCCAGAGACGAACAGACAAAGAAUGGAGUUUUGAAUAAAUAGCUCGGUUUUAAACUGGCUCAGGGCCUUCUUUCUGAUCCAGCAAAUGGACAGGACUUCUCAUCACUGGAGGGCCCCAAUUCUUAGGGAAGAGUUGGAACAUCUUGGCCUACUGAGGCCCCAUAAGACUAUGUGCUUGUUCUGGGUUGGAGCUGUGAUGGACUUGUGAGCACAAAGAAAGACUUCUCUUGCCAGAGUCCAUGUUAGAGUUGGAAUGGUGUCUGGUAAGCUUAUUAGCAUGC